Molecule: ribosomal RNA, 166 nt
Filed under: uncultured bacterium
Lineage: Bacteria
Description: partial 16S ribosomal RNA
Rfam family: Bacterial small subunit ribosomal RNA (bases 1-149)
Source: RNAcentral
GCAUGGGCGCAAGCCUGACAGAGCAAUACCGCGUGAGGGAUGACGGCCUACGGGUUGUAAACCUCUUUUCUCAAGGAGGAAGAACUGACGUUACUUGAGGAAUAAGCAUCGGCUAACCCUGUGCCAGCAGCCGCGGUAAUACGAGGUGCCGCGGUAAUACGAUACG